Molecule: small nuclear RNA, 196 nt
Organism: Pelodiscus sinensis (Chinese soft-shelled turtle)
Lineage: Eukaryota; Metazoa; Chordata; Testudines; Trionychidae
Gene: U2
Rfam family: U2 spliceosomal RNA
About the family: U2 is a small nuclear RNA (snRNA) component of the spliceosome (involved in pre-mRNA splicing).
Source: Ensembl
AUCCCUUCUCAGCCUCUUGAAGGCCAAGUUCAAGUGUAGUGUAUGUUCUUAUCAGUUUAACCACUGGUAGGUUCUCUAUGUGAGAACUGAGUGUAAAAUGGAUUUUUUUGCGACAGGGGCUGGGAAAGGGAGCUUGCUCCCUCCACUCUGCACAUUGGCCUGGUAUCGCAGUACCUCCAGGGGCAGUGCAAAAAAU